GCUAAAUGCAGCCCACUAGUCAUGGGAUAUGGCCUGCCAGAAGUUUCAUUAAUGCCCUUACUUUUGCUGCCUAUUUGCAUGUGGCCCACAAAUCUGAGGUAUCUUGAGGUCUGUUGUGCUGCCAUACCAGUGCCUCCGUUCUUUCUAACAAGUCAUGCUGCCUGGGCCUGACAUAAAAGUGAUUGAACUGGAUCUUUGAUUAUAACUUGUCCUACUUCAAAUUCAAAUCAGUGGAGAUUUUGGUCCAGAAUAAUUCAUAAAUAAGAUGCUUGGUCACUUUUUAAAAACUGUUUGGUUCGUUUCCCCUCCCCACACAACUGGUUCAACAAUGCAAGGCCCUGACUUAAAAUAAGCCUGUCAGUUGUUAUUCCAGAAGAGCUGGUUUAUUAGAAAAACAGGCAAAACCAUUGUCUCAAGUUCAGAGACAGAAUGUUUUCCCAAGAGUCAACAAAAAAUUGGCACUGCAAAAAUGUCAUUGAUGCUACUUUAGUUUCAAGAAUGCAGUGUGGUGAACUUUUGAUACAAGAGUCAUAAAAUAAACCCAUGAUCUGCAUUGUGUUUUGAAUUCAAAUUGUUCAUUCAACAAUCUUCCUCUUUUCCAAAUAAAAGUAUACGAUUGUGGCAUUAAAGGUAUGGUUCACAGAAUAUAUAUACUCUUGCAGACACAUUAGCUUCACUUCUUCAAAGCACAAUCCUCACAUUUAUUUUGAUGUGGUCAAAUCACAACACUGGGUGUGUGUUUUUAACUUCUCUUUUUUUUUUUUUACAUGAUGAUGAGCUUAUCUUCUGAAGUUGGAGAGCAUUUUGGUCAUCUUCAGUUGAUUGUGAGCCCCUAAGAAGAGAACCUGCCCUUUCAUAAUGCUGUAAAGUCUUAGAUGGAUGCAGGAAGAGGAAGAAGAAGACUCUCCCUAUACCUAUUCACAUUAGCCCACAUGAACAUCUGAAAAGGGAUUAAUUCCUACUGUUAAAGUGCCUCAGGAAGAGCAAGGUUGUGAAGCAUUUCUGACUGAAAAAAUACAAGUCUGUUUCAAAGAAUGCUUUAUUUUGAAGAGUGAAGAAACACAGGAAAUAGACCACCAGAUCCAGCAUGUACCUCAACAAUUAAAAGGGAAGUUACAAGUGCAGGGGGGAAGAGAAAAUUGUUCCUUACUGGAAAGAAGCUAUAAGAAAAGUGGUAGUUGUUAUAAGUUUUGGUUUCAUAUGGAUAUGAAUGGAAAAGAGCUUCACUUCUAGUUAGUAAAAGAAAAUACAUCUCAUUAAAACAUUGUAUCUACACAUACCAUAUUUAUAAAAAGAACGUAUGUAUGUAUCUAUGUAUGUAUCUAUGUAUUUAUCACAUUUCUAUACCACCUGAUAUGUACAUCUCUAGACAGUGUACAAAAUUUAAAAUAUUUAGAAGUUACAAAUUAAAAUAAUUGACAAUAACAAUAGAAUAAAAUAGACAUUAAAACAAGGUUUUAAAAUUAAUAAACUUAAUUCUAAUUAAAAGCCUAUGAAAACAGGAGAGUCUUGAGGUUCUUCCUGAAAACAAACAGAGAAGGAGAUGCUCUUAAUUCAGUAGGGAGCAUAUUCCAAAACCCUGGGGCAGCCACAGAAAAAGCCCAGUCAUGGGUCGCCACCAAAUGAGCUGGUGGCAACUGCAACCGGACCUCUCCAGAAGAUCAUAAUAGGUGGCAGGGUUUAUUACAAAGGAGGUGCUCUCUUAAAUAGCCUGGACCUAAGCCAUUAAGAGAUUUAUAGGUAAGAACCAGCACUUUGUAUUUCACCCAGAAACAUAUCGGCAGCCAGUGCAGCUCUUUCAAAACCAGUGUUAUGUGGUCCCUUCAUAUUGUCCCAGGGACCAAUCUGGCUGCCACAUUCUGUACCAGUUGUAGCUUCCGGACUACAUACAAAGGCAGCGCCAUGUAGAGUGCAUUACAGUAGUCAAGCUUAGAGGUUACCAGCAUAUGUACCACUGUUUUAAGGUCAUUUGCCUUUAGAAAUGUAUGUAU
Hemicordylus capensis (graceful crag lizard) is the source of this 1991-nucleotide long non-coding RNA. RefSeq lists it as uncharacterized. The transcript is spliced from 3 exons. The record is from RefSeq and is a predicted model, not a curated record. NCBI's taxonomy places the organism in Eukaryota, Metazoa, Chordata, Lepidosauria, Squamata, Cordylidae.